UACGUAGGGUGCGAGCGUUGUCCGGAAUUAUUGGGCGUAAAGGGCUCGUAGGCGGUUUGUCACGUCGGGAGUGAAACUCGGGGCUCAACCCCGAGCCUGCUUCCGAUACGGGCAGACUAGAGGUAUGCAGGGGAGAAUGGAAUUCCUGGUGUAGCGGUGAAAUGCGUAGAUAUCUGGAGGAACACCGGUGGCGAAGGCGGCAUCCGUGGACCGAUACUGACGCUGAGGAGCGAAAGCCAGGGGAGCAAACGGG
Molecule: ribosomal RNA, 253 nt
Filed under: uncultured bacterium
Lineage: Bacteria
Description: partial 16S ribosomal RNA
Rfam family: Bacterial small subunit ribosomal RNA
Source: RNAcentral